Molecule: ribosomal RNA, 618 nt
Filed under: uncultured bacterium
Lineage: Bacteria
Description: bacterial SSU rRNA
Rfam family: Bacterial small subunit ribosomal RNA
Source: RNAcentral
CCUACGGGAGGCAGCAGUGGGGAAUUUUGGACAAUGGGCGCAAGCCUGAUCCAGCCAUGCCGCGUGUGGGAAGAAGGCCUUCGGGUUGUAAACCACUUUUGUCAGGGAAGAAACGGCUUUUUCUAAUACAGAGAGCUAAUGACGGUACCUGAAGAAUAAGCACCGGCUAACUACGUGCCAGCAGCCGCGGUAAUACGUAGGGUGCAAGCGUUAAUCGGAAUUACUGGGCGUAAAGCGUGCGCAGGCGGCUUUGCAAGACAGAUGUGAAAUCCCCGGGCUCAACCUGGGAACUGCAUUUGUGACUGCAUGGCUAGAGUACGGUAGAGGGGGAUGGAAUUCCGCGUGUAGCAGUGAAAUGCGUAGAUAUGCGGAGGAACACCGAUGGCGAAGGCAAUCCCCUGGACCUGUACUGACGCUCAUGCACGAAAGCGUGGGGAGCAAACAGGAUUAGAUACCCUGGUAGUCCACGCCCUAAACGAUGUCAACUGGUUGUUGGACGGCUUGCUGUUCAGUACGAAGCUAACGCGUGAAGUUGACCGCCUGGGGAGUACGGCCGCAAGGUUGAAACUCAAAUGAAUUGACGGNGNGAGACGAGCGAGACGACGACGAGGGGAGAGG